CUCCUUUUCAAUUGUUUGGAAUAGUUUCAGAAGAAAUGAAUUUGAUGAUGAUGUAUCUUGGGGAUGCCCUCUCUCACCACUCCUUUCAACAUAGUGGAAGUUCUGGCCAGCACAAUCAGGCUGGACAACAUGAAAAUGUCUGAUAAUACCAAGUAUUGCCAGAGUGUGGACCAAGAAAAACUCUUACAAAUACUAAUAAAACUGUAAACCAUGUGAAAAACAAUUUAAUAUUGACUGUAUCAUACCCUGAAACAGAAAUCCACUCCUAGGUGAUACAUUAACUAGAAAAAUUUUUAUGCACAUUCAUAAAGAGAUAUAAACAAACAUGUUCCCAACAGUAUUACUUAUAAUAGUAAAAACUGUCAUCAGAAUGUGAAUGUGGUGAGUUUAUACAAUUAACUAUUAUGCAGCAUCAAAAAUCAGUCAACCAGAGUGACACAUAUGAAUAUGAAUCAUUAUUAUUUACAUAAUGUUGAUAUUUUAAAAAUCAAAAGCAAUUUGCAAAAGAAUGCAUACUGUAUUAUAUCAUUUAUAUAAGGGUUACCUAUGCUAAGCGAUACAAAAAUAUUGUUAGUACUCAA
This 581-nucleotide long non-coding RNA is filed under the name Homo sapiens (human). Its description in RNAcentral is "HSALNT0293035". The record is from RNAcentral. Lineage: Eukaryota; Metazoa; Chordata; Mammalia; Primates; Hominidae.